GAUGAACGCUGGCGGCGUGCCUAAUACAUGCAAGUCGAGCGAACAGACGAGGAGCUUGCUCCUCUGACGUUAGCGGCGGACGGGUGAGUAACACGUGGAUAACCUACCUAUAAGACUGGGAUAACUGCGGGAAACCGGAGCUAAUACCGGAUAAUAUAUUGAACCGCAUGGUUCAAUAGUGAAAGACGGUUUUGCUGUCACUUAUAGAUAGAUCCGCGCCGCAUUAGCUAGUUGGUAAGGUAACGGCUUACCAAGGCGAUGAUGCGUAGCCGACCUGAGAGGGUGUAGGCCGACAGUGAGAGUGGGCGGCGGUACAGAGUCUUAGAGGCGGCACAAGCAGGGAAGCGUCCGAGAUGGGCGAAAGAUUGAAGGAGCAGCGCAGGGUGAAUGCUGAGGGUCCUCGUAUCGUAUAACUCCGUUAGUAUGGAAGACUCAAUGUGUAAGUAACUAUGCACGUCUUGACGGUACCUAAUCAGAAAGCCACGGCUAACUACGUG
This 497-nucleotide ribosomal RNA is filed under the name uncultured bacterium. RNAcentral describes it as "partial 16S ribosomal RNA". It matches the Rfam family "Bacterial small subunit ribosomal RNA", at positions 28 to 507 of the family's 1533-position model. The record is from RNAcentral.